UGGAGGGAGCUGGGAAGGUCACUCCAGCCUUUCUGGAGAUGGGGUCUGUAAUUUAACAAACAGGUCCUGAGAGAACCGAGCUGGAUUUUCUGGUUUUGUGUGCUCAUUUCCAUCUGGGAGAGCAGUCACUUCUUCUGGCCAGCACAAGCUGCUCUCUGGUUACCUGGUGAUCCUGACCAGGGAAUGAUCUGCCCAAACAGUAAGUGCUCCGCAGCCCAGCCACUUUUUAGCAUGAGGAGAUCAUGCCCAAACCAGAGUAGUGGUAGGAAGGAAUGGCCAAGGAUCAGGUGGUAUCCAAAGGGACAUACUCCUUGGGAAGAAAGAAGAGGGACGCCGAGCACCAUGAGUCCUGGGGUGCAGGGAGUUCCAGCUGAAGUGUACUUACAGUGCAUUGUGCACAGAGAAGAGGAAUUAUUUGUGGAAUGCAUCAUCAGCCAAGUCUCAACACACACACUGGAAAGAAUUGGCGUAGGCUCACCUGGUUUUGCAUGCAGAGGAGUCUUGAAGUGUAGGAGUUUGGACUGGUUUUUCUUUUUAAUUCUUUUUAUUAAUGCUACAAAACAACAGAUGCAAAUUUCCCAAUGCCUGCUUGCUUUUCACAUUUCUCAAAGUCAGAAUAACUAGCUGUCAGUGGGACUUCUCUUGUUGCAAAUAGUAUCAGACAAUUCUCUUCUCUUCUCUUCUCUUCUCUUCUCUUCUCUUCUCUUCUCUUCUCUUCUCUUCUCUUCUCUUCUCUUCUCUUCUCUUCUCUUCUCUUCUCUUCUCUUCUCUUCUCUUCUCUUCUCUUCUCUUCUCUUCUCUUCUCUUCUCUUCUCUUCUCUUCUCUUCCUCUUUUCCUUUUUCAUCUAUCUUACAAUAAUCAUAUUGUCUUUUCCUUAAACCUGCUUAGUACACCUUUUCCAGUUGCAGCAAUUUCUUUUAUAGUCUGGAAUUCUUACAGAGGCUGAGGAAAUGAGACCUAACAGUUGGAAUUGAUUGAAGGUGCCAUUAAGGCUAUGUGAAGAAUUGAUUUUGUUUCUCUCUAGUGAUGAGGUAAAAAAACAAACCGAACCAAACCAAACCAAACCCUCCAAACAAAUGAACAAACAAACAAGAAAACAAGCAGGAAAAAAAAAACCCAAACAAAAAUGAUCAAGAUUUUGGUUUGUAUUAAAAUAAAUCUAGACUUUUAAACA
Molecule: long non-coding RNA, 1175 nt
Filed under: Junco hyemalis (dark-eyed junco)
Lineage: Eukaryota; Metazoa; Chordata; Aves; Passeriformes; Passerellidae
Description: lncRNA (ENSJHYG00000000417.1)
Source: RNAcentral